AAAAGCAGUCCAAGAGAAGUUAUCACUAAACGUGUUUGAGUCGUUCAGCACGCACGACUAUUAUGUGGAACAGCAGUGUACACAUUGUUUUGUGUUUGUGUGUGUCUGGUAAAAUAAUCAGUGUCAUUUGAUUUUAUUUACUUAAUGAUUCCAAAGGACAUAAUGCAUUCACGCGCAUGUGUAUUUCAUACCGCCAGGUACACUUUUGAUUUGUUUGAGCGAAGUGGCAAUACUAGUACUAGUUUUGUUCAUGGUUCACCUAAAAUCAAAUGUACAUGUUCAACGAUGUACAACUGUCGUAUGAAUUAUGUUUUACGCAGGUGAACCUUGGAAUAGGUGGUUAGUGUGGCAGUUUAUGAUAAGUUUGAUACGUGUGACAUAACAACUAACCUAGUUUUUGCGUCAGGCAAAUAACUUGUAAUAAUAUUAUAUUCACACAAUCGUAUUAAAUGGCGGUAUUACCAACAACAUUAUUAUUAUGCCUGUGUUUGCUGUAUUCCACAUUGUAGCAGUACAUUUAAGCCUAUUCUAUUAAUUCUUUACAUAAACUUCGUCAAAUUACUCGUUCGAACAGGUUCUUUGUCUUUGUAUACAACCUGCAAAGAUGGAUGGCUUCCAUUCAGAGGUUCAUGCUACCUAUUCCAAAUGGCAACAAUGCCAUUUACCACCGCAGAGGCAAAUAUCUCACUAUCUUUAUUCAAUGGAAAUUAAAUGACAGGCAAUGUUUUAACUAAUUUUAAACAAUCAUUUGAAAGAUAUGAAACUAGCUUCAGAGCGAUCUGAAAGAUUUUAAGAACAAUUUGAAAACAUAACAAUUACAAUUCAAUAACACAUUAAUCUCACAAUAUUUUAGGUAUUCGGAAAGAAAUGAUACAUUAGACUCAAAAGUAUAUUCGUGAUACUUUGUUGUUGUUUUUUCUACUUACUAGUUUUCAGCAAUUUUGUAGACAGCACGACAACAGUCACCUUGUCCACGUAAACGAUGCCAUGGAAAACGGAUUUCUGAAAGAUCGACUGCGCAUGUUUAAAGAUUCUGUUUGCUGAAUCGGACUUACGGAUGAAAACAUAGAAGGAGUUUGGAAAUGGUUCGACACAGAUGAUUUGGCAACGUUCACAGACUUCAAGCUUGGAGAUGGCGGUUCUCACAACACUAAGGACUGUGUUGGUUUCAUCGCUGGUUAUGAUAAGCUUUUGGCCGAUAUCUCAUGCUCUUUAUCAGUAUCUGUGCUGUGUGAAAACAGAUAUAUGAUAUGAUGCUGUGAUGGAAAACUGAGUAUCAGUAGCAAAACCCACAAGUCCGGUGGUUAUGCUCAAACAAGCUUACAUGCGCCUUGAUAUGUGAUUCGACCCGUGUCGCCAGUCCCGGAUUACCCACAAGGCAUAGAAGUGGGCACGGAGAAACAGAAGUUGUCGGAUGAUUCUCAAACUGCAAGCCACAUUUCAUGACUGCCUGGGUAAUCUGUUGACUUGUAAUCUGAAAGCAAAAUAAAAGUCAAAUGUG
This is a long non-coding RNA of Dreissena polymorpha, 1501 nucleotides long. RefSeq lists it as uncharacterized. The record is from RefSeq and is a predicted model, not a curated record. NCBI's taxonomy places the organism in Eukaryota, Metazoa, Mollusca, Bivalvia, Myida, Dreissenidae. The transcript has 5 exons.